UAACGCGUGGGUAACCUGCCUCAUACAGGGGGAUAACAGUUAGAAAUGACUGCUAAAACCGCAUAAGCGCACAUUGUCGAGUGACAGAGUGUGAAAAACUCCGGUGGUAUGAGAUGGACCCGCGUCUGAUUAGCUAGUUGGUGAGGUAACGGCCCACCAAGGCGACGAUCAGUAGCCGGCCUGAGAGGGCGACCGGCCACAUUGGGACUGAGACACGGCCCAAACUCCUACGGGAGGCAGCAGUGGGGAAUAUUGCACAAUGGGGGAAACCCUGAUGCAGCGACGCCGCGUGAGUGAAGAAGUAUUUCGGUAUGUAAAGCUCUAUCAGCAGGGAAGAAGAAAGACGGUACCUGACUAAGAAGCCCCGGCUAACUACGUGCCAGCAGCCGCGGUAAUACGUAGGGGGCAAGCGUUAUCCGGAUUUACUGGGUGUAAAGGGAGCGUAGACGGCUGUGCAAGUCUGAAGUGAAAGCCCAGGGCUCAGCCCUGGGACUGCUUUGGAAACUGUGGAGCUAGAGUGCUGGAGAGGUAAGUGGAAUUCCUAGUGUAGCGGUGAAAUGCGUAGAUAUUAGGAGGAACACCAGUGGCGAAGGCGGCUUACUGGACAGUAACUGACGUUGAGGCUCGAAAGCGUGGGGAGCAAACAGGAUUAGAUACCCUGGUAGUCCACGCGGUAAACGAUGAAUACUAGGUGU
RNAcentral lists this ribosomal RNA (695 nucleotides) under uncultured bacterium. RNAcentral's name for it is "bacterial SSU rRNA". It matches the Rfam family "Bacterial small subunit ribosomal RNA", at positions 111 to 823 of the family's 1533-position model. The record is from RNAcentral.